GGAGAGGUGUCCGAGUCCGGUUGAUGGUGACGGUCUUGAAAACCGUUGUACGUUUGCGCGUACCGUGGGUUCGAAUCCCACCCUCUCCGCCA
RNAcentral lists this transfer RNA (92 nucleotides) under Orenia metallireducens. RNAcentral's name for it is "tRNA-Ser". It matches the Rfam family "tRNA". From Rfam's summary of the family: Transfer RNA (tRNA) molecules are approximately 80 nucleotides in length. The record is from RNAcentral. Lineage: Bacteria; Bacillati; Bacillota; Clostridia; Halanaerobiales; Halobacteroidaceae.